This 1280-nucleotide long non-coding RNA is filed under the name Phaseolus vulgaris (common bean). RNAcentral describes it as "long non-coding RNA (PVUL_LNC001316)". The record is from RNAcentral. Lineage: Eukaryota; Viridiplantae; Streptophyta; Magnoliopsida; Fabales; Fabaceae.
GCACAUUGAAGUUAUGGGACAAAAGAAAAUUCAUAAUAGUAGAGAAAGGUAAGGUAACUAUCAGUUUAAACAAGUGGAUCUUCCGAGGACUUUUAUCUUUUGUAUCUCUAAAAAAUUCUUGUUGUACCUUAUUAAAGUAGAAUGAGAAAAUAACAUUUAAAACCUACAAUUUUUUUAAAAGUAUCCCAUAAAAAAUGGAUUGAAAACUUUUUAGAUUAUAUAUCUUGGAGUAUAUGGAUCUUGAAAACUAUUUUAAAAUAUAUAAUUUAAAAUUAUUUUUUAAUUAUUAUUUUUGUUCAAUUCUAUAACUUUUCUAAUAAAGUUUAUUAUGGAAGUGAAUUUGUAAAAAAUUGAUGGAGUGGAUAUGUGGAAUCUGAGAGGAUGUGUCAGGUUGUUUGAAUUGUGGGAUGAUAGGAUGAAUUUGUGAAAAAAUUUACUGUAGUUUGUUAGUGAUAUGAUGGUUGAGAUGAUAUUUUAAUUUUUUUAAAAGUGUAAAAUAUAAAUUGAUAAAUUUAUUCUUGUAUUUAAUAAACAUAUGAAUAUUCAAAAUAUAAGAUAUUUUUAUGCAGACUUAAGUUAAUUAAAAAAUUAUAAAUUAAUUUGAUAUCGUUAAAUAGUUAUUUUUGUAAAAAAUUAUGAGUUACUUAAUAUUUUAAUAAAUUUAUGAUAAAAAUAAUGUUAUGAAAAUAUAUAUAAAUUGGCGUUAUAUUUUAAAAAGUUUUAAAAUGUUAUUUAUUUCUUUAUUAAUUAUAAUUUUUUGUAAUUAAUAAAUUAUUUUUGAUACUAUAUAUAUUUGUGUGAGAACAUAAAGAAUUAUCACAAAAUAAUUAUUUUUUAUUUAAAAAUAAAAUGAUAAUAUUCAUAAUAAGAUAAAAAGUUAUCGAUAUGUAAAAAAUGGAAAUUUUUACAUAAAAACAAAUAAUUGAAAUAUUCUAAAUUAAAAAAUAUAAGAGAAAAUAAUUCUAUAUUAAAUUAAAAAUUAUUAUUGUUCUUGCUAGGGAGAUGGGAUCUAGAGAACUAUCGAAGUCUUCCACUCUUUCCUUCGGUCGGGCAGGUUGCUAGGUGAUGAACUGAGAUUCUUCUCGUUCUCGUGCUUCUCCUUUGACUCUCGGUCUCGAGUGAACUCCGAAUGGGGUACCUGCGGAAAGCACUCCAACGCCCAAAUCAGUAAAGCGAGUGAUAGAUACUUAGGUAGGUGUACAAUAAUAACUGAUGUACCGUGUGUUAUUUAUAUUAUUUUAAUGGACUUACCUUGUUGGGUCUGAUUAGUGGAAUGGAUC